RNAcentral lists this long non-coding RNA (815 nucleotides) under Phaseolus vulgaris (common bean). RNAcentral's name for it is "long non-coding RNA (PVUL_LNC003668)". The record is from RNAcentral. Lineage: Eukaryota; Viridiplantae; Streptophyta; Magnoliopsida; Fabales; Fabaceae.
ACAGACAAUACUUGGUUUCAAUCCGAGAAAAUGAAGGUUGCCAUGUUUCUUCAGUCUCUCCCUCUAUGUUUUUCCCUUCUCUUGGCCUUCAACACACAGCCACUUCUAGCUGCUGAGCCUGAGCCAGUGGUGGAUAAGCAAGGGGAACCUUUGGUGCCAGGAGUGGGGUACUAUGUGUGGCCACUUUGGGCUGAUGAAGGAGGCCUCACACUAGGCCAAACAAGGAACAAGACAUGCCCUCUUGAUGUUAUCCGUGACCCUUCUUUUAUUGGCUCACCAGUGGCAUUCUCGGCAGAAGGGCUUGACCACAUUCCAACUCUCACUGAUCUCACCAUUGACUUCCCUGUGGUCACAGCCUGCAACCAGCCUACAGUGUGGAAGCUCAGCAAGGAAGGGUCAGGGUUCUGGUUUGUGAGCACCAGUGGGAACCCUCAGGAUAUCACAAGCAAGUUCAAGAUUGAGAGGCUUGAAGGGGAUCACGCCUAUGAGAUCUACAGCUUCAAGUUCUGCCCCAGUAGGCCUGGUGUACUGUGUGCUCCUGUGGGAACCUUUCAAGAUUCUGAUGGAACCAAAGUCAUGGCUGUUGGGGAUAACAUUGACCCCUACUAUGUCAGGUUCCAGAAGUUUUCCUUGAAGGACCAAGAGAAGAAACCCUUCAGCAUUGUGUAGUUUGGUAGCUCUAUGAGCUGUGUAGUUAUAGGGGGUUGUGACUUUGAAUAAUCAAUAAGAGUGUAGUAGGGAACUGGAUUUUUGGUGUGGCAGCAGAAAGAAUCAUCAGAAGUUUUUAUUUCUUGGUUCUCAUGGCACAGAUCAGA